Phyllostomus discolor (pale spear-nosed bat) is the source of this 105-nucleotide long non-coding RNA. RefSeq lists it as uncharacterized. The record is from RefSeq and is a predicted model, not a curated record. The transcript is spliced from 3 exons. NCBI's taxonomy places the organism in Eukaryota, Metazoa, Chordata, Mammalia, Chiroptera, Phyllostomidae.
AAACCAGGCUGAAUGCUGUACAACAGAAGAGACAAAAACUUGUUCUGUGACAUUGCUGUAAUAAAAUGCCUCAUUAUUUCUUGCAGUUACAGAGAGUUAUCAAUU